UUAAGUUCAGCGGGUAUUCCUACCUGAUCUGAGGUCGAGUUUCAAGGUGUAGCGCUUGUGACGGCGCCGACAGGAGACUGGUAGACCGCUAUAACCACUGCAAGAAUAAUACUAUACAGGGACAUAAGGGUCACCGCCGUUGAUUUUCAGCGGUUGCUAGGCAAUCCGCCAACACCGAGCAGUGCUCGAGGGUAGAAAUG
This 200-nucleotide unclassified non-coding RNA is filed under the name Hypocreales sp. RNAcentral's name for it is "partial internal transcribed spacer 2". The record is from RNAcentral. Lineage: Eukaryota; Fungi; Ascomycota; Sordariomycetes; Hypocreales.